AUUGAACGCUGGCGGCAGGCCUAACACAUGCAAGUCGAGCGGAUGAAGGGAGCUUGCUCCUGGAUUCAGCGGCGGACGGGUGAGUAAUGCCUAGGAAUCUGCCUGGUAGUGGGGGGUAACGUCCGGAAACGGGCGCUAAUACCGCAUACGUCCUGAGGGAGAAAGUGGGGGAUCUUCGGACCUCACGCUAUCAGAUGAGCCUAGGUCGGAUUAGCUAGUUGGUGGGGUAAAGGCCUACCAAGGCGACGAUCCGUAACUGGUCUGAGAGGAUGAUCAGUCACACUGGAACUGAGACACGGUCCAGACUCCUACGGGAGGCAGCAGUGGGGAAUAUUGGACAAUGGGCGAAAGCCUGAUCCAGCCAUGCCGCGUGUGUGAAGAAGGUCUUCGGAUUGUAAAGCACUUUAAGUUGGGAGGAAGGGCAGUAAGUUAAUGCCUUGCUGUUUUGACGUUACCAACAGAAUAAGCACCGGCUAACUUCGUG
RNAcentral lists this ribosomal RNA (484 nucleotides) under uncultured bacterium. RNAcentral describes it as "partial 16S ribosomal RNA". It matches the Rfam family "Bacterial small subunit ribosomal RNA", at positions 30 to 507 of the family's 1533-position model. The record is from RNAcentral.